This 8145-nucleotide long non-coding RNA is filed under the name Brassica napus (rape). RNAcentral describes it as "long non-coding RNA (BNAP_LNC016800)". Lineage: Eukaryota; Viridiplantae; Streptophyta; Magnoliopsida; Brassicales; Brassicaceae. The record is from RNAcentral.
AGUCUCUUUCACCGUCGAAUCAGAUGGAAUCACUACUAAGCAACUCCACGAGUUGGGCUUUCUUCAUCUUUGAAAACCCUUUUAGUCCCCUUGAUUUCGCUAUGCCUCUCAGUUCCAUCAACUUCAAUGUACUCAAGUCUUUAACAGGUUCUUCCUCUUCUUCAUCAGCAUCAUCCAGAGACUCCUCCUCCUCAUCAUCUGAUAACGCAUCUAAAGUAACAUUACCAUCCUCCUCUUGAUAAAAUGAUGAUGCGUCUAGCUGCAGCUCAGAUUCUGGUUCGAGAAUAGCUGUCACAGGCUCAGGUUCGUCUUCAGGUUCAUCACGCGGCUCUGCUGUAUCCUUCUUAUGGGUCCAAGUCACGCUGUAACUCGACGCCUCAUCAAAAGUUGCCUCAUUAGAAUAAGUCGGAGGAGGCGAUUCAAAUCUUGGUACUGGCGACUUUCUUCUGAAGCUUGACGCUGUCCUGGUAAAGGAUGAUGAUGCAUUAUGAUCUUUGGUCCAUGACUUGACAAGGUUUCCUCCUCCGCUGCGAUCUUGCCUCCUGUCCACAUGAUCUCCUUGUACCGAAUUGUCUCCAUGGCUGUUAAAAUUGUUAACUUUCUUGCUCUGCUCUCCCGAGUGCUUUCUUAGUAACUUAAGAAGAGAGUCAACAGUUUCACUUUCUUUACCCCGUCCUUUAGAAGCUUCUUCUUCUUCUUCUUGUGCCUUUUUAUCUUCCAUCUUGGUGGCUGCUCGAGCUCGGAGCUGAGCUUGAACUUUUCGGAAAAGCUCCACUAUCUCUUUCUCUCUAGGCCCAGGGGAUGAAGUAGCUUGGAACUUGGGGGAGUUAGACAGAGAGAGCAAAGACCCGUUUCUUGAAGACAACAUAUCAGAGUUAUCACCAUCAAAACCGUCUCCAUCUACGCUUUGCCUGUUUCUUCCAUGCUUAUUAAGCCUUGAGAAAUCAGGGUUUCUCCUGUAGCCACCAGAACUCGCUUGACAAACAAAAGAACUACUAUCUGGGGAACACUUCAGAGAUCCAUUACGUUUGUGAUCGAGACAAGAAGAAAAAGGUAAUGUAGCAGGUGUUCUUCUAUAAACAGCAGGGUUAUAAAAGCAUCUGCUGUCUGAAACUGAAACUGAGAGUGUGUAACCUGUGUUACAACAGCAAUGAAUAAAAAUUAUUUAUUUAUUUUGACAAAAGGGCUAGCAAUGAAGAAUUGUUACAAGUAAUAUUCCUACAGAAGCAUGUAAACAGUCUACACGAACACUGUCUAUUUUGUCUAUUUAACAAUCACACAGAAGCAUUUCGUCGAACAACUGGUGGACAUUUAGGAAAAAAUCUAACCGAUAACACAAAGAGAGACAUAACUUAACAACUAUCAACGACAUGUAAGAGACACAUAUAUAGGGUGCUAAAGUCGUACCAGGGACGUAGUUAGAGUUCAAACUGAAAGUUCCCGACAUCGCCGCCAAGAACAGCUUCGGAGCGAGAGCGAGAGAGAGAGAGAGAGAUUAAGCUUCCUCUUCUUCUACCCUCCUCUUCUUGGGCUUUAGAUUAUUUCAAAUUCCUAAAUGGGCUUUGUAAGUUUGGUUUUACAAAUUAGAUAUUCCACAAUCGGUUAAGAGAUUUUUCCAAACCGAGUUUCUUACCUUAACAGAACCGACUAAAUAAACCAAUCAAAAUCUCUUAACCAAAACCAAAAACAGAAUUAACAAAUGUCUUCUUAUUCGGUUCGGUUUAAAAACCAUGGUUUUGGAUUUCUCUGUUUCAUUAUAGAGGAAGAAGCUAACGAAGAGCUUUCUUCAACACUCUUCUCAACAAGGAUCUGUUUGAAAGCUUAAGAACCAAUGGGCCAAACAUUCGCCACAAACAUCUCUGACACUCCAAUGGCAUCUCUAGAUUGGAGUUUCGAACCAGCGGAAACAAAGGGGAUACAAAUGCAAACAAGGUUCCUUUGUUUAUUACUAAGCCUUGUGGUCUUUAGCCAAUUCAUCCACGUCAAGUUCUACCGCCAAGAGUGGAGAAUCCUCUUCCAUGGCAAGCUCACUGAUACACAGAUAAUAUUCUUUUGUGCUUAGUAAGAUAAAAAAAUAACAGAGGAUGGUAUCUUCUCUUUUACCUGUUACUAACUGGACCAUGAUCAACGGCUGUCCUCAGACAAUAUAUAGCUCUUCCUACUAUGUCCGCCAUUGAGACCGGACCAAAUGUUCGACUAUCGUAUGCUUCCUAUCAAACACCAUUGGGUGGACAAAGUUAACAGACCAAAUUAUACAGAGAUUCAGUUUUUUUUUUUCUUUCGUAUGCAAUAGUGUACCUUAGAUUUCAUCUCUUGGUUCUCAGCAACGACCCAGCACUGAUCCUUUUCGAGAACAAAAGGCUCCUCCUUCUCAUCAAUAGAUACCAUUUCGGAUCCUUCUAAAGCUGCCAGUCUUCUCACUAGAAACUUAUCAGUUUCAUUCGGGUCCUUCAACACAACAGCAUCUCCAACGAAAACAUACCUAGACAACAAAAAAACAAUGAAAUCCAAAUGGGCAUCACUAGUAAUCUUUACACACUGAAACUAGCCAGAGGCUGCAAACUAAAAGGAUUCAAUUGGUGUUUGGAUUCAACAAUAUCUCAUCACAGUAAGUAGACAUACCUACUAUACAAUUUAUCAUAAGUAGACAUUUGACCCUUAAUGCCUAGAAACAUACCUUGUAUCGACAACAGGUAGCUUACGGACAAGUAGUGUGUUGUCAUGAGCUCCCAUGGUUGGGGACAUCUCUUGUCCUUUACCAGAGUGCAAGUAUGUUAUCCUUCCAUAGAGUAGAUUCUUCAGGACAUUUUCAGUUUACUAAUGUAGACUAUCAAAUAGGUCUACUAUUUGGGUUAGUUUUUGCAAUUGAAAAUUUUACGGGUUACUUUCUAUAUUUGUAAAAAAGUUGUGAUUUUAUACAUGUAGACUUCCAUUUCAGUCUACACUUCAAAAUAGUUAGUUUUUUCAAUUGACCAAAAUUCACCCAUAAUUUGACUUUCGGAAAUAGACUUCAUAUGCAGUCUACAUUUUUGAUUUUUUUAAAAGAGGUUAAUUUUGCAAUUGACCAAGUUUGACUUUCUACGAGUAAAUGAAAACGGACAUCUACAUAUUUUUAGACUUCGUUUGAAGUCUACUCUCAAAUUCGACGGGUUAGUUUUGCAUUUGACCAAAAUAAAAUAGUAGACUUCACAUGUAGUCUACUUUUUUUUCUAAGUUAAGAAGACUGCAAAUGAAGUCUUCAGUUUAAUAAAAUUUUAAUUAAUUUUUAAACUUUUUAGUCAAACACAAAAGUAACCUAUUCAACGAAGUCAAAGUUUUGAUCAAAUGCAAAACUGACAUUAUGCAAACUUCUCUGGCAGUCUACACUUCGUAGACUUCCGUUGAAGUUCGGUCAAAUGCAAAACUAACCUCUUUUACAUAGACGUCUUAGUAAGUCCACCUAAAUUUUUGUUUUUGUUGUCAAAGAUAAAGACGAAGACUGCCGGGGAAGUCUGCGGUACAAAAAAAAAUUCGUUUGGUCAAAUGCAAAACUGACAUGUGCGUUGACAAGUAGACUGUAUCGUACGUCUGCAUAUAGGCGUAGACAUACAAAACAAUCUACUAUCUCGACACAGAUCUGAAAAAUGAUGAAAACCAUGUAAAUAAUAAUCUUUUUCUGGUGUAAAGCUCGUUUCCAACCUUCUCAACCGUCCAAACUCCAAAUAUGAACAAAAAGAACCGCCUUUAACAAUUCACUAAUGAAAAAACUUUAAAAUAUGAAGUUUGUGUUUAUGAAAAUGAAAGCUAUGAGAGUUUUUUAGAUGGAAAUGUAGAAGAAAUGAGAGGAAAUGAAGAUUUGUUGGUUUAGAAUGAAAAAAGUGGUUAAAAAUUGAAUUCUAGAGUUUUAAGAGCUCAAAAAUGGUGGUUCAUGAUGGUUGGAAAAAUUGAUGAUAGUGGCAUUAUUGUAAAUAAGAAGAAAUGGUGUGGGUGUAUUUGUUUUUUUUUUGUGAAUUCGAAAUUAAUAAAAAACUAAAUAAUAAUGUCAAUUUUGUAAAUAAUUCAAAAACAUAGGGAUAAUAUAGAAAAUUCAUUGAUGAAUAGUAAUGACAAAAAAAGAGGUUAGUUUUGGGUUUGACUUGAAAAUAUGGGUUGGUUUUGAAAAACUCCCUUUAAAAUUGGGCUUAUUUGCCAACUAGCCAUAUUUUAACAACAAAUUAAGAAUAUAGCAAUGAUUUUGAUAUUAUAAUAUCUUCUAACAUUUGUGCAAUAUUUUCUCGGUUUUGUCUUUCUUUUGAUCCGGUUGCCAAUAAUAAAAGAAAAAAAUUGUGAUCGACAAAUAUAUGGUGAAAAUUACAGUGGAAGGAGAAUGGUUACAAUGAAAACAACGUUGAUGAUUAUUGUGGCAGUGAUGGCGGUGAUUACAGUAGAAGUUAUUACAUAUGAAACAUAUGUCGUUAAUCCAAAAGAAACAGUCAUCUUUCAAACAAAGAUUACUACGAUGGUUGUCAUCUUAUAACUGCGAUGAUUGGAGAAAGAGACAAAGUUACAGAGGAAGAUAUCAGAGUAAAUAGAAUAGAACAUUCUAAAUGAUAUAGUUCAUAUUAAUGGAAUUUUAAAAUAGUUUAAUAAUUGUGGAGGCAACGCUUAUUCCAAUAUCAACCCAUAUUUUCCAUAAACUAAAUCUAAAACACUAAUCAGUAAAACCUAAAAAAAAAUAUAAACCCUAACCCAAAUAUCAAAAACCAACUCAAAUAUUAAAAUAUGCAAAUAUAAUAGUAACCAAUUAAUAGCAUAGUACAUAUUGUUCAAAUUUUAAAUUGUCUAUGAUUAUAGGGAAUGAGGUAAUGCUUACCCCAAUAACUCAAACCUUCUAUAAAUUAAGAGUAAAAACACUAAUCACUAAACACUUAAAAGAAAUAUAAAUCCUAACCCAAAUAUCAAAUAUGGACAUAAUACAUAAUAUGAAACAUUACCAAAAUAGAGUAGUAACAAACAAAAUAACAUAGUACGUAUUAAUGUUUACAUUUUGAAAUGUCUAUUAUUACAGAGAAAGAGGUAAAGCUUACCCUAAAUUAACCCAAACCUUCCAUAAACUAAACCAAAAACACUAAUCACUAAACCCUAAAAAGAAAUAUAAACCUUAACCCAAAUAUUAAAAUAUGCACAUAGUACAUAAUAUGAACAAUUAUUAAAAUAGAAUAGUAACAAACGAUAUAGCGUAGUACGUUCAAAUAACAUAGUACAACCGAGAACUUACGGGACAAACAAGGACGCUUCGACCGUAACGUCGCCAUGGUCCGUAGAUUUUAGAAGCAGAGACGAGAUAUGUAGCAAAGAGUAUGGAUUAUUAGGAGGUGGUUGUGGUGACUAUGGUGAUGGUGGCUCAAUGAUGAAUGUUAGUAUGAACGAAGAGAUCAUGAUUAUGAAAAAAAUGAUAUUGAUUAUAAAAAAAGUGGUGAUUAAGGAGACGAUAAAUACAAAACACAGUGUGGAGUUUGUGAUGAUCGUAUUUGUAAUGUUGACGGAAGGUAAAGUGGUGGAGAUGGAAGAAGAAGGGUGGUAGUUGAGAAGAAGAAGAAGAAUAUAUUUUUCUCUUUCAUUAACCGGAAACUAAAGGCAAUAUAGUAUAUAUUUCACAAAUAAUAGAGGUACUUUUUUUUGGUUAGAUAUUUAAUGGAAAAAUUGGCAAUACAGAACAACUAAACUAAAGUAUUGUCCCCUUAGAAUAAAAUCAAGUUUUGUUACUUUUGGACAUUCACUACUCUUUUUGUAUAUAAAAAUUCAUAUCAAUUUUUUAGAAUGCAAAAAAAUCUGGAAAAUUGUAUAUUUGAUGUAGAUAAGCAACUGCAUAUAAGAAAAAUAAUCUGGAUUCAAAAAAUGUUUGAAUAGUAAUUUCAAAAAUGGGGUAAAGGUGUUAGAAAAUCAGAUCUACCAUCUACGGAGGUUUAGAAUAUAUAAUCUAACAAAGAUAAAGUGAUCUACCAAUCGUAGAAUGCACAAUACAUCGAAAACAUUAACAACUACUAGGGAAGAAUAUAAAAAAAAUCCUCAUUCCCUCUAUGCUCUACAUAACUGGUAGAUUUAAUGCGCUACAGAAAUUAAUUAAUCUACUAUGGUAUGAAAUGCAUUAUUCGAAUUAUCUUUUUGUCUACAUUGGUGGUAUACAAUAUUCUGCCAGACCUUCUAAUUUCCAAACAGAUAGAAUGCAAAUUCUACCUAAUAAAAUUACAAAAUCCGAAAAUCUAGCAAAAAACGGUCAGAGUAUUCAGUAAAUCUUUUAAAUGUUUUGUUAUUUCCUUUUUUAAUUUUUUUUUUCUAAAAUCUAGUCUUCUUCUUCAACAUAGCACGAUUUCUGAAAUUAAACGUGGAAGUUGUUCUUCAAUCGAUGGUUCUCAAAGAGGAAAGACGACAGAAGGAGGACGACGGAGAGACGUGACGACGAUAUCGUCGUCUCCGGCGAACAUAGACGGCCAAGAGAAAGAAAGUGUCGACGGCGACGAAAUGAAAUCGCCUCUGCUUUUAGAAACGGGCGUCGGAGACGAAGAAAGUUGUGUUUUUUUACUGCUUAUGUUUCGUUUUUACUUCUUACUAUUAAUUGUAUUUUACUAAAAAAGGACAAAACAUGUUUUUCAUAUUUUUGUUCUAAUGAGACAAAGAUUGAGUUUUUUAUUCUAAGGAGACAAAAGUAUACUUCUUUUGUUUCUUAUCGGCAAAAAUUCCAUAUUUAAUUAUGGUUUUUUUUGUAGCUAUACAAUCCAAUUUCCUCAAUAGAUUUGGAGUUAUCAAGGUGGUGGUAUAACGUACACUUUUUUUUUUUUGGAUAACAUUGGUGUGAUUCCAAAGGUUUGCUAUAGCAUACACUUAGGUUGAUGUAUAUGUUAGUAUGUGAUACUCAUGCUCCAAUAUGUAUAUGAAAUGAAUUUACAAAGUUAUAUGUAAAUGGCCAAAAUAUGAUAUUGCAUGAGUUUUUAACGUGAUGAUUUUGAAAAAGAAAACAUAACCUAAAAAGCACCAUUAUCAGUGAUCCAGCGAUGACUCCACUAUAGCAAUUGUAUGAUCACCAUUAACUGAAUUGAACCAGUAAUGAUUCUUUAUAGAACAUAAUUAAUAUUAUUGAUUUUAAAAAAUAUAAUAUAUAUGCAGAAAUCAUUGUGCUACUAUCUGGAUUUGAAUCAUAAUGUAUAUUAUUGACCAAAAAACAUUGAUUCAAAUCCAUAUGUGUUAUGUUAUUAACAAACAUAAAACCAAUGAGCAGUAUAAAAUGAUAAAAACGUGACUUACAAGUAGGGACAACUAACGAUUAAAGAAGGCAUGCAACCAGCCAGAAAAAUGGUGAUCAUGUUGAUUGGUUACACUGGCUAUGACCGGACCCACCUUGAGUAAGCCAUCAGCCGACUCCAAUUACAAUUUUGAUUUCAGUAUCCGACCCCUUCACAGAAAAGGCUUGGCUUAGAAUACAGUGCUUUCAAAUGACCCUUUGAUGUGAAGUGAGCCCAAACAUAUCAUCGCCAUAACACUAUCAGAGAACAAGCUUAGUUGUGCUUUAACAACAUUUCGAAGAUCUUCAAAAACCAAAGAUUAAAAUCUGAGUAAACAAAACAACAUGAUCACGGCCAGUAUUUUCAGGUAAAAAAAAAAAGAACACAGAAAUUAACUCAUUUCAACAUUGUCACUAACGAUAGUAAAUGUUCAUAUUAUUUGUUGAGUCUCUUUCACCGUCGAAUCAGAUGGAAUCACUACUAAGCAACUCCACGAGUUGGGCUUUCUUCAUCUUUGAAAACCCUUUUAGUCCCCUUGAUUUCGCUAUGCCUCUCAGUUCCAUCAACUUCAAUGUACUCAAGUCUUUAACAGGUUCUUCCUCUUCUUCAUCAGCAUCAUCCAGAGACUCCUCCUCCUCAUCAUCUGAUAACGCAUCUAAAGUAACAUUACCAUCCUCCUCUUGAUAAAAUGAUGAUGCGUCUAGCUGCAGCUCAGAUUCUGGUUCGAGAAUAGCUGUCACAGGCUCAGGUUCGUCUUCAGGUUCAUCACGCGGCUCUGCUGUAUCCUUCUUAUGGGUCCAAGUCACGCUGUAACUCGACGCCUCAUCAAAAGUUGCCUCAUUAGAAUAAGUCGGAGGAGGCGAUUCAAAUCUUGGUACUGGCGACUUUCUUCUGAAGCUUGACGCUG